This 253-nucleotide ribosomal RNA is filed under the name uncultured bacterium. Its description in RNAcentral is "partial 16S ribosomal RNA". It matches the Rfam family "Bacterial small subunit ribosomal RNA", at positions 524 to 776 of the family's 1533-position model. The record is from RNAcentral.
UACGGAGGUUGCAAGCGUUAUCCGGAUUUAUUGGGUUUAAAGGGUGCGUAGGCGGGAUGAUAAGUCAGUGGUGAAAACCUGCAGCUUAACUGUAGAACUGCCAUUGAUACUGUCGUUCUUGAGUAUAGUUGAGGUGGGCGGAAUGUGUAGUGUAGCGGUGAAAUGCUUAGAUAUUACACAGAACACCGAUUGCGUAGGCAGCUCACUAAACUAAAACUGACGCGGAGGAACGAAAGCGUGGGGAUCAAACAGG